AACCAACUGCAGCCAUAAGAAGUCACGGGGAUAUCUCAGCCUGAAUAUGGUCUCUUCUUUAUGGUCUUAUCUGAAGGAUUAGCUCUACCCAGUGGACUCUAUACAGGAACCUUUUCUCUGUUGGCUGCUGAGUUGACUGUGGUCCUUGCCCUGUUCACCCAGUCUCCAUCCCUCAGAGCAGCUGGCAGGUGGGAAGGAAAGAGGCAACAAACCCAGAGGACAGCUUACGGGAGCUGGUUCUCUCCUUUCACCAGGAAAAGAAAGAACACACAUCCUCAAAGGCAAACUACAGAACCAUUUCUGUAAUCGAACAUGCUGGAACAAGACUAGAACCUUGGGCUGAUACUGUCAAGAAGAAAUGAGAGGGCUGGGGGUGUGCAGGUCCACAGGGCGGCACUUGUCUGGUAUGCACAAGGCCCUGGGGUCCACUCCUGGCUCUACCCUCCCAUAGAAAGAAGAAAAAGAGCUUUCAGGUAGAUAGAUAAACAUGUCUAUCUGCUGUUAUGGACUGUUUUAAAUAAAAUACCAAAAU
Molecule: long non-coding RNA, 532 nt
Filed under: Mus pahari (shrew mouse)
Lineage: Eukaryota; Metazoa; Chordata; Mammalia; Rodentia; Muridae
Description: lncRNA (MGP_PahariEiJ_G0002392.1)
Source: RNAcentral